Non-coding RNA from Pyrenophora teres f. teres 0-1, 80 nucleotides. The record is from Rfam. NCBI's taxonomy places the organism in Eukaryota, Fungi, Ascomycota, Dothideomycetes, Pleosporales, Pleosporaceae.
GGAAAAGUUGCUAUAGGUAAGGCGAGAUAUUUGCUAAAUAUUGUGUUUAACACCUGGUGGUUCAAAUCCACUCUUUUCCG